This 757-nucleotide long non-coding RNA is filed under the name Mytilus galloprovincialis (Mediterranean mussel). Lineage: Eukaryota; Metazoa; Mollusca; Bivalvia; Mytilida; Mytilidae. The record is from RNAcentral.
AGUUUAUCAUACACGUUUCGUUUUGUAUUUUAUUUCAAAUACGAAUACAUACUACAUAUACUUUAGCGGAUUGUUCAACAAUGUUAUGCAACUCUAUUGUUACAGUAUAAAUUUUAAAAAAAUAAUAUUCACCCAUUCAUAAUCGAAAACAGUACAUUUAUAUGUAAUAAAGAAGAUGUGGUAUGAUUGCCAAUGCCACAACUCUCCACAAGAGACCACAAUGACACAUAAAUUAACAACUAAAGGUCACCGUACGGCUUUCAAUAAUGAGCAAAGCCCAUACCGCAUAGUCAGCUAUAAAAGGCCCCGAAAUGACAAUGUAAAAACAAUUCAAAUGGGAGUUGUUCCUUAUAAACUACGACAUUUCUCACAAGUAUUAAUAUUUAUUUAGUUCCAAACAUGCGAAAGAAAUAAUCUUCACUGAAUUCAUUCAGGUGCACAAAUGAUACGAUUAGUUAUUUUGUUUCUAUCUUUGGGGAACAACUUCCUCCUUUUAUGGUAGCUACUGUGUGUAUGUUUUAGCAUGAAAAUAAUAAAGGAGGAAUGUCAGUGCAACCCAUCAUUAAUUAUUGUAAAGCAGGAUCAGUAUUAUGAAAUACUUUAUAAGUGACUACGACAUUGUAAGGAUUAUAACCUAUCGUAGGUAUGAAAGAAAUUAAAAGUGGUUCAUUUAUUCAUCCGUAUAAAAGCGGCACAUGUAUUUUAUUUUAUCCUUAUAUUUCUCAUCAUGCCGGGUACAAGAUAAUUGAGUUGCUGC